This is a long non-coding RNA of Lepus europaeus (European hare), 592 nucleotides long. RefSeq lists it as uncharacterized. Lineage: Eukaryota; Metazoa; Chordata; Mammalia; Lagomorpha; Leporidae. The transcript is spliced from 3 exons. The record is from RefSeq and is a predicted model, not a curated record.
CACCACAUGCCAAGCUGAGAAGGAAAAUGGUGCAUAAAAAAAGAAAAAAAGUAAAAAAAGAAGACUAUGCCAUAGAGAACUGCAGAGGUCAGAUCAUCAAUUGCCUUUACAUAAUGCCAAGCAGGAGUUUUCACUUUGUUCAAGGAAAAUGGAAGGUUACUGAAAUAUUUUAAAUGAGAGAAUAUUAUGAUCAGAUGUGGAAUUUAAUUUACCAGACUAUGAAGCUCUACAGUCCUCACCUUAACUGAGAAUCUGUGGCAUUGUCAGGAACCAUAGAUCUCCACAGGGAACAGAUAAAUCCAUGAAUGAAUCGAUGCUGGAAUCAGGAAUGGAGUCUCACCCCACUCUCUGGAGCAAACAUAAAUCUUCCAAACAAUAAAAUGCAUUGGCCAAAGCUUUUCUUUUGAGAAGACCACAAAGUAAUCAAUAAAUAAAUGAAGACUUAAUAGAAAGAUCUUGGCUUAAACAGAGAGAGGCCAAAUUCUGAAGAGGAAACUGCAUAAUUACGACCACUCCUAAAUGGAGGCAAGAAGAAAUGCUAUAAAUUUCAAAUUCUCAAGUGCUUACCUUUUAAAAGAUGAAGUCACCAAGA